Molecule: non-coding RNA, 92 nt
Organism: Favolaschia claudopus
Lineage: Eukaryota; Fungi; Basidiomycota; Agaricomycetes; Agaricales; Mycenaceae
Source: the annotation of a GenBank genome assembly
GGCGCUAUGGCCGAGUGGUUAAGGCGACAGAUUCGAAUCUCAUGCUUAUCUGUUCCGGUUUCCGGGCGCAGGUUCAAAUCCUGCUGGCGUCG